Molecule: long non-coding RNA, 1226 nt
Filed under: Lepisosteus oculatus (spotted gar)
Lineage: Eukaryota; Metazoa; Chordata; Actinopteri; Semionotiformes; Lepisosteidae
Description: lncRNA (ENSLOCG00000023057.1)
Source: RNAcentral
GCGCUUGUAAUGCCCUGCGGGGGAAAUAGCUUUUAUUUAUUACCUUUUUUUUUUUCUUCUACCAGCUGUCUUUAGUUGAUUCGAGGAAUUCUUAGGGAAAACUUCGCUAUCUCUUUCCCCCCCACCGAAGAAAAGAAAAAAAAACCCCACCACGUUUCCCCUCCCUCUCAUCUUAAAAGUGACUUCAUUAGGCUGCCGGAGAAAGAGUUACGCCGUUUUGGUUCAGUGAAAGGUAAGAAAAGAAUUUACCUGUUCUGACUCUCUUUCUUUCACUCUCUCUCUCCUUCCCUCUCUCACUUUUAGUUCCAGUCUCUCUGUCAACUAUAAAAGAUCAGCGAUCGGCCCUGGCAGACGCCAGCUCAGUGUGCCCUUAUGCGCCUGGGCUGUUGAUUUCCUUCUGGAGAAGGCUCAGGACGCACUAUGUGAGCUCCUCAAAUCCUGCAGCUGAUACUUAGGAACCUGCGCAGAUCCGGCAUAAAACCAAGUUUUCCUCUUCCUGCGCUAACCAGAGCCGAACAGCGAGCCAGCUGACAAGCUUUUGGCUGUCAGCCUUGCAGUAUGGCCACGGAGACACACAACCAGAACUUCUCUUCCAGUUCCAGCAGAAGUACCCCAGUUCAGAUGUCGCCCAGAUCAGGAAGGCCCACCUAUGACACACAGCUGUCACCCCCCUUACAGAUGGCACAGACACAGGAUGACCCAAGCCUUGGGGAGAUUUCCCUGCCUUUCCAGCGAACAGAGAGCGCCCCCUACAGGCCGAAGGGCAUCUCCACAGAGAAGUACCGGCGGCAUAGCAGUGAUGGUGUGAUGGGGCAGGGGUUUGGCUCUGCCGAGCCCACUCACUUUCACCCUUAUCGACGCCAGUAUAGCGCAGAGGGGUACAACAUUCAUUUGGGGGCCCAGGGAGACCCGUGCUCUCCUCCCCGAUCUUUCAGAGGGUUUGAGGGAAUGAAGCUCUCGGAGUCCAUGCCCCCAGCAUGCAGUCAGGAGCCCGACAGCCUUCCACCUGCGGUUCCAGGGACAUGGUCCAGUGUGGUGCCCUACAGCAGCAGUGUGCAGAGCACAAGACUGAUGGGAGCACAGCCCUCGUACCCAGACACAACCGAUAUAUCAGAGGACGAGAAGGUGAAAUCCUGCUCUUACCCCUCGCAGAUACAGCACAGCUACAGAGCAGCUCAGGCCCUGCAGCCGGUAAGACCCUGUGAAAGCAAUGUGAGUCAGUGCCC